GUUAACCAGAUGCUCCGCAGGGCGCAGCUUUAUACGACCGCAGAGGUUGAACCCUGAACGGUUGGGGCAAGUAUGGACACAACAUUCAAGCUGGAUUCAGCUCUAAAUUUGGAUUGUGAUUAAAUAGUUGACACAGCAUAGGUUUCUGACACAGAAUGAAUGUGGUCUAAUGAACUUAAAAUACUUUUUUUUUCCUUUGAGCAAUUCACUAUGCUGUUGAAUAUUAAUCCUCUCAAAAAAAUGUUUGAAGAAAUUUUCUUUUUGUUUAUGAAAUCUGAAAUGAGAAAAAUUUACCCCCCCCCCAUUUUUUUUUUUCACAUCCCCCUUUCCCUUUUUCCAAAACUGAUCUCAAUUCAAAUUUCUAAUGGAGUUUGCAACAAUAACUACUCAUUUAAAUACAUCAUAAAAUAUUAAAAUGUAACAAAAGGUGCUUGUUACUGAAUGGUAAAGAUUGUUUUAAUUUAUCAGUUGGUAGUAAAGGUGAAUAUACAUUGUAUAUUGUAUAAAACAAUGAUUUAAGUUGAUUCAACUACUAUUCUGGACAAAGAAAGAUAACUCCAAUCAAUUGAAAAUUUCUUGCUAUUGCACAAUAUUGUGCAAUUAGAUAUUUCUUGCUAUUGCGCAAUACUGUGCAAUUGAAAAUAUUUGCUAUUGCACAAUACUGUGCAAUUGAAGA
This 676-nucleotide long non-coding RNA is filed under the name Mytilus galloprovincialis (Mediterranean mussel). The record is from RNAcentral. Lineage: Eukaryota; Metazoa; Mollusca; Bivalvia; Mytilida; Mytilidae.